GGGCAUUUGGUCUAGUGGUAUGAUUCUCACUUAGGGUGCGAGAGGUCCCGAGUUCAAUUCUGGGAAUGCCCC
This 72-nucleotide transfer RNA is filed under the name Sphenostylis stenocarpa. Its description in RNAcentral is "tRNA gene-AYBTSS11_LOCUS12709". It matches the Rfam family "tRNA". From Rfam's summary of the family: Transfer RNA (tRNA) molecules are approximately 80 nucleotides in length. Their secondary structure includes four short double-helical elements and three loops (D, anti-codon, and T loops). Further hydrogen bonds mediate the characteristic L-shaped molecular structure. tRNAs have two regions of fundamental functional importance: the anti-codon, which is responsible for specific mRNA codon recognition, and the 3' end, to which the tRNAs corresponding amino acid is attached (by aminoacyl-tRNA synthetases). tRNAs cope with the degeneracy of the genetic code in two manners: having more than one tRNA (with a specific anti-codon) for a particular amino acid; and 'wobble' base-pairing, i.e. permitting non-standard base-pairing at the 3rd anti-codon position. Lineage: Eukaryota; Viridiplantae; Streptophyta; Magnoliopsida; Fabales; Fabaceae. The record is from RNAcentral.